CCGCCGCGGUAAAACCAGCUCUUCAGUGGUCGGGAUAAUUAUUGGGCUUAAAGUGUCCGUAGCCGGUUUAGUAAGUUCCUGGUAAAACCGGGCAGCUUAACUGUCCGUAUGCUAGGAAUACUGCUAUGCUAGAGGGCGGGAGAGGUCUGAGGUACUACAGGGGUAGGGGUGAAAUCUUAUAAUCCUUGUAGGACCACCAGUGGCGAAAGCGUCAGACUGGAACGCGCCUGACGGUGAGGGACGAAAGCCAGGGGAGCGAACCGGAUUAGAUACCCGGGUAGUCCUGGCCGUAAACGAUGCAUACUAGGCAAUGGUGCGGCCAUGAGCCGCAUCAGUACCGUAGGGAAACCGUUAAGUGUGCCGCCUGGGAAGUACGGUCGCAAGGCUAAAACUUAAAGGAAUUGGCGGGGGAGCACCACAAGGGGUGAAGCCUGCGGUUCAAUUGGACUCAACGCCGGGAAACUUACCAGGGGAGACAGCAGAAUGACAGUCAGGUUGACGACCUUACUCGACGAGCUGAGAGGAGGUGCAUGGCCGUCGCCAGUUCGUGCUGUGAGGUAUCCUGUUAAGUCAGGCAACGAACGAGAUCCGCGCCUUUAUUUGCCAUCAAGAAGUCACGACUUCGUUGGGAACACUAAAGGGACCGCCGUCGAUAAGACGGAGGAAGGAGCGGGCAAAGGCAGGUCAGUAUGCCCCGAAACCCCUGGGCUACACGCGGGCUGCAAUGGUGCGAACAAUGGGCCGUAACUCCGAAAGGAGAAACCAAUCCCGAAAUCGCAUCUCAGUGGGGAUUGUCGACUGUAACUCGUUGACAUGAACGUGGAAUCCCUAGUAAUCGCGUGUCACCAUCGCGCGGUGAAUACGUCUCUGCUC
This 873-nucleotide ribosomal RNA is filed under the name uncultured archaeon. RNAcentral describes it as "bacterial SSU rRNA". It matches the Rfam family "Archaeal small subunit ribosomal RNA", at positions 462 to 1335 of the family's 1478-position model. The record is from RNAcentral.